GUCAGCUCGUGUCGUGAGAUGUUGGGUUAAGUCCCGCAACGAGCGCAACCCUCGCCUUCAGUUGCCAGCAGGUUGGGCUGGGCACUCUGGAGGAACUGCCGGUGACAAGCCGGAGGAAGGUGGGGAUGACGUCAAGUCCUCAUGGCCCUUAUGUCCUGGGCUACACACGUGCUACAAUGGCGGUGACAGAGGGAAGCGAGGCUGUGAGGCUGAGCCGAUCCCGAAAAGCCGUCUCAGUUCAGAUUGCACUCUGCAACUCGAGUGCAUGAAGGCGGAAUCGCUAGUAAUCGCGGAUCAGCAUGCCGCGGUGAAUACGUUCCCGGG
This 324-nucleotide ribosomal RNA is filed under the name uncultured Acidisphaera sp. RNAcentral's name for it is "bacterial SSU rRNA". It matches the Rfam family "Bacterial small subunit ribosomal RNA", at positions 1054 to 1378 of the family's 1533-position model. The record is from RNAcentral. Lineage: Bacteria; Pseudomonadati; Pseudomonadota; Alphaproteobacteria; Acetobacterales; Acetobacteraceae.